RNAcentral lists this unclassified non-coding RNA (515 nucleotides) under Hevea brasiliensis (rubber tree). Lineage: Eukaryota; Viridiplantae; Streptophyta; Magnoliopsida; Malpighiales; Euphorbiaceae. The record is from RNAcentral.
GAAUAUGCUUCUUCACAUUCUGUCACUCUUUCAUCCAAAUCCCUAUCAACCAGCCUCUCAUUUGAUACCAUACAAGAUUUUUUUUUUCUUUGCCAUUAAUUUUCUUGCUUUCUUUCUAUUGUUAAUGCCUUUCUUUUUUCAUGUUUCAUUGCUUAUUUUAGAAUGUCUAAGGUUUUAGCAGUCAAAAUUGAGCAGAAUGAAGAAAAAUGAUCCUCAUAACUGAUCUCAACUAGAUCAGGAUUAAAGUUCAGUUGAGUUUAGAAGUCAAAAUGGUAUCCUAUAUCUCACAAAAAAAAUGGUCUCCUAUAUAAUAGCACAAAAUAAUCUUGAUAAAAAAUUAUUUAUGAACUUUUUUUCUAUUUUCUUUGUCAAGUGCUUAUGUCCAAACUAAACAUGAUGAACAUUCUAGGGAAACAUGAAUCAAAUGCAUCCCAAAACGUAAUGGUAUCUAAAAGAAGAAGAAUAAGGAGGAAUAGAUAGGAAUUUGGAAGAAUUAGCUUGAUUAUUCCCUCAAG